UUUAUCCUACGGGGCGCAGCAGUGAGGAAUAUUGGUCAAUGGCCGAGAGGCUGAACCAGCCAAGUCGCGUGAGGGAUGACGGCCCUACGGGUUGUAAACCUCUUUUGUCGGGGAGCAAAGAGAGUCACGUGUGGCUCAUUGAGAGUACCCGAAGAAUAAGCAUCGGCUAACUCCGUGCCAGCAGCCGCGGUAAUACGGAGGAUGCGAGCGUUAUCCGGAUUUAUUGGGUUUAAAGGGUGCGUAGGCGGAUUUUUAAGUCAGCGGUAAAAUGUCCGGGCUCAACCCGGGCCGGCCGUUGAAACUGG
RNAcentral lists this ribosomal RNA (305 nucleotides) under uncultured bacterium. RNAcentral's name for it is "bacterial SSU rRNA". It matches the Rfam family "Bacterial small subunit ribosomal RNA", at positions 333 to 636 of the family's 1533-position model. The record is from RNAcentral.